UGAGUUUUCAACUCCCACAAACCAUCGCGAACCCAUCUUGUUAACCCCCGUUGCCUCGGCGGGCACGCCGGCCUAACCCGCCGCGUGCCGGCCGGGGGGACGAGGGCCCAAACUCUCUGUUUUUAUAGGUCUCUCUGAGUAAUUCUUCCAAUAAGUUAAAACUUUCAACAACGGAUCUCUUGGUUCUGGCAUCGAUGAAGAACGCAGCGAAAUGCGAUAAGUAAUGUGAAUUGCAGAAUUCAGUGAAUCAUCGAAUCUUUGAACGCACAUUGCGCCCGCCAGCACUCUGGCGGGCAUGCCUGUCCGAGCGUCAUUUCAACCCUCGAGCCCCCGCGGCUCGGUGUUGGGGCUUCCACGGCCGCCGUGGGCCCCUAAGACCAGUGGCGGGCUCGCUACGACCCCGGGUGCAGUAAUUUUACCUCGCCCGGGUGGCCGCAGCGGGCUCACGCCGUGAAAAACCGACGCCGCAAGGUGUCGACAACGCACAAGGUUGACCUCGGAUCAGGUAGGAAUACCCGCUGAACUUAAGCAUAUCA
Molecule: ribosomal RNA, 536 nt
Filed under: fungal endophyte sp. ICMP 16009
Lineage: Eukaryota; Fungi
Description: eukaryotic LSU rRNA
Rfam family: 5.8S ribosomal RNA (bases 160-313)
Source: RNAcentral